ACGGAAGGCAGCAGUGAGGAAUAUUGGUCAAUGGACGGAAGUCUGAACCAGCCAAGUCGCGUGAAGGAUGAAGGUAUUAUGUAUUGUAAACCUCUUUAGCAGUGGAGUAAUAAGGGGAUCGUGAUCCCUGAUGCAAGUACACUGAGAAUAAGGAUCGGCUAACUCCGUGCCAGCAGCCGCGGUAAUACGGAGGAUCCGAGCGUUAUCCGGAUUUAUUGGGUUUAAAGGGUGCGCAGGCGGCUUUUUAAGUCAGUGGUUAAAUCGUGACGCUCAACGUCAUCACGCCAUUGAUACUGGAGAGCUUGAUUGCGGUCGAGGUUUGCGGAAUUCGUUGUGUAGCGGUGAAAUGCAUAGAUAUGACGAAGAACACCGAUUGCGUAGGCAGCAGACCAGGCCGUAAAUGACGCUCAUGCACGAAAGUGCGGGGAUCGAACAGGAUUAGAUACCCUGGUA
RNAcentral lists this ribosomal RNA (453 nucleotides) under uncultured Porphyromonadaceae bacterium. RNAcentral describes it as "partial 16S ribosomal RNA". It matches the Rfam family "Bacterial small subunit ribosomal RNA", at positions 341 to 792 of the family's 1533-position model. The record is from RNAcentral. Lineage: Bacteria; Pseudomonadati; Bacteroidota; Bacteroidia; Bacteroidales; Porphyromonadaceae. RNAcentral also lists the same sequence under 1 other name.